This 253-nucleotide ribosomal RNA is filed under the name uncultured bacterium. Its description in RNAcentral is "partial 16S ribosomal RNA". It matches the Rfam family "Bacterial small subunit ribosomal RNA", at positions 524 to 776 of the family's 1533-position model. The record is from RNAcentral.
UACGUAGGGUGCAAGCGUUGUCCGGAAUUAUUGGGCGUAAAGAGCUCGUAGGCGGUCUGUCGCGUCUGCUGUGAAAACUCAGGGCUUAACCCUGAGCUUGCAGUGGGUACGGGCAGACUAGAGUGCGGUAGGGGAGACUGGAAUUCCUGGUGUAGCGGUGAAAUGCGCAGAUAUCAGGAGGAACACCGGUGGCGAAGGCGGAUCUCUGGGCCUUGCCUGACGCUGAGGCGCGAAAGCUAGGGGAGCGAACAGG